UUCCCCCAGUAGUGGCGAAUGAAGCGGGAAAAGCUCAAGUUUGAAAUCUGGCGGGCGACCGUCCAGAGUUGUAAGCUGGAGAGGUGUCGUCGGAUGCGGUCCGGGCUCAAUUUCCUUGGAACAGGAGGUCAUGGAGGGUGAGAACCCCGUAUGUGGCUUGGGUGCCGUGGUCCUUGUGACGUAUCCUCUAAGAGUCGGGUUGUUUGGGAAUGCAGCUCAAAAUGGGUGGUAAAUUUCAUCUAAAGCUAAAUAUUGGUGAGAGACCGAUAGCAAACAAGUAGAGUGAUCGAAAGAUGAAAAGUACUUUGAAAAGAGAGUGAAACAGUACGUGAAAUUGUUGAAAGGGAAGCGUUUGGCAUCAGCCCAUGGCGGCGGUCGAACAUCUGGGCUUCUGCCCAGUGCACUCGGCAGUCGCCGGGCCAGCGUCGGUUCCACCUGCUGGAGAAAGGCCUUGGGGAAGUGGCACUCCCUUGUGGAGUGUGUUAUAACCCAUGGCGUCAUGCGGCUUGGUGGGACCGAGGUCCGCGGUUUUGUCCUAGGACGCUGGCGUAAUGGUUCCAAGCGACCCGUCUUGAAACACGGACCAAGGAGUCUAACAUCUAUGCGAGUGUUUGGGUGUCAAGCCCGGCCGCGCAAUGAAAGUGAAUGUAGGCGGGAGCCCCUCCGGGGGUGCAUCGCCGACCGGUCCGGUGGUUUACCGAAGGAUCUGAGUAAGAGCAUAGCUGU
This 726-nucleotide ribosomal RNA is filed under the name uncultured Archaeorhizomycetes. Its description in RNAcentral is "eukaryotic LSU rRNA". It matches the Rfam family "Eukaryotic large subunit ribosomal RNA", at positions 75 to 809 of the family's 3401-position model. Lineage: Eukaryota; Fungi; Ascomycota; Archaeorhizomycetes. The record is from RNAcentral.